This 497-nucleotide ribosomal RNA is filed under the name uncultured bacterium. RNAcentral's name for it is "partial 16S ribosomal RNA". It matches the Rfam family "Bacterial small subunit ribosomal RNA", at positions 28 to 507 of the family's 1533-position model. The record is from RNAcentral.
GAUGAACGCUGGCGGCGUGCCUAAUACAUGCAAGUCGAGCGAACAGAUGAGGAGCUUGCUCCUCUGACGUUAGCGGCGGACGGGUGAGUAACACGUGGAUAACCUACCUAUAAGACUGGGAUAACUUCGGGAAACCGGAGCUAAUACCGGAUAAUAUAUCGAACCGCAUGGUUCAAUAGUGAAAGACGGUUUUGCUGUCACUUAUAGAUGGAUCCGCGCCGCAUUAGCUAGUUGGUAUGGUAACGGCUUACCAAGGCAACGAUGCGUAGCCGACCUGAGAGGGUGAUCGGCCACACUGGAACUGAGACACGGUCCAGACUCCUACGGGAGGCAGCAGUAGGGAAUCUUCCGCAAUGGGCGAAAGCCUGACGGAGCAACGCCGCGUGAGUGAUGAAGGUCUUCGGAUCGUAAAACUCUGUUAUUAGGGAAGAACAAAUGUGUAAGUAACUAUGCACGUCUUGACGGUACCUAAUCAGAAAGCCACGGCUAACUACGUG